GAUAAAAAUAGUUUUAGGAUUUUGAAAGUGAAUGGUGACAGGGAUGUCCUGCUUCUCUGUACCAAAUUCUCUCUAAGACAUUGCCCAUGGAUGAACUGGUGCAUGAUUUGGCCUCGGCCCUGGAGCAGACAUCUGAGCAGAACAAACUGGAUGAGCUGUGGGAAGAAAUGACUCUCAGCCCAAGGCAGCAGAGGCGACAGCUACGCAAGAGACGAGGACGCAAGCGGCGCUCAGACCUCACCCACCAAGCAGACCACGCCUGCUGCUAUAGUGGGGCCUCUGAGUCCAGCCUGGAUGAAGUUGUGGAGGAUUGUCGAGAAGUGCUAACUGCCAACUUCAGCGACUCAGAUGACAUGGCAGGCGCCAAAUGUCAUCCAACACUUAGUGCAGCUCUCAGGAGUAAGCCACAUUCAUGGCAUGAGUCAGACUCAUUCACUGAGAAUGCACCUUGCCGCCCAUUGAGGCGCCGUCGAAAAGUUAAGCGUGUAACGUCAGAGGUGGCAGCUAGUCUUCAGCAAAAACUCAGAGUGUCAGAAUGGAGUUAUGAAAAGGGUUGCAGGUUCAAGUCUGCUAAGAAGCAGCGUCUUUCCCGAUGGAAGGAAAAUGCUCCCUGGACAUCAGCUAGCCGAGGACUGCACGAGCCAGUCGAGACCAGAACAUUCCUUAACAAAGGGGGAAGGAAUGAAAGGAUGGAAUGCGAAGCAGAUGAACAGAAACAGGGUUCUGAUGAAAAUAUGUCUGAAUGUGAAACCAGCAGUGUGUGCAGCAGCAGUGACACUGGUCUUUUCACCAAUGAUGAAGGUCGCCAAGGUGAUGAUGAGCAGAGUGAUUGGUUCUACGAGGGAGAAUGUGUUUCAGGAUUCACAGUCCCUAACCUCCUGCCCAAGUGGGGAACAGACCAUCAGUCUGACAUGGAACGCAUGGAUUCUGGCCUUGAGAAAAUCUCAGACCCAACAUUUCUUCUGCCUUCCCGGCCUGCUACAAGAGGAUUUCAUGCCCGCUUGAACCGCCUUCCCAGUGUUGCUCCUCGCUGCCUCAGGAAGGGCCGUAGGAGACUGGUUAGCAAGGAGACCAUCAUUAAUGCUAUGGGCACUGAGAGGAUUAGCCACAUCAUUGGUGAUUCUUGCCAAAAAGAUUUCUGGUUGCCAUCAGUGGGAAUGAGAGAUCGCAACCAGUUAAAUCCAUUAUCUCCUCUGUAUUCCUUGGAUGUUCUUGCUGAUGCCUCCCACCGAAGGUGCUCCCCAGCACACUGCACAGCCAGGCAGACUAGUAUACAUCUGGGACCUCCGUGCUCAAGGGACAUUAAGAGGAAGAGGAAGCCAGUUAUGGCAACAGCCUCCCUUUCCAGUCCAACUUCAGCAGCACACUGGUUAGAAGGCAGGACAUCUGUUGGCUUUCUGGACAGCAUUUCAGAAAUCAGACAGAAAUCAUGAUACAAUGCUUUGAAGGAUUCUUGCUGUCCUAGCCUUUGAGACCCCCAUAAGCUGGGCUAAAAACAACUUUAUCCAUCCACAGGAAUACAUCAGACCCUGGCCUACCUGUGGCACACUCUCAGAGGCACCAGAACUGACUGGAUGUGCAGAUUCCAUGUGUCGGAGAUACAAAGCUUCACUAUCACCCAGGCAGCUCUUUAAAAAAGAAGGUCCUUGAUGGCACUGGAUGCAGGCAACUCUUUGACGGGGCUUUUUGUAUGUUGGACUGCUGAGAGCAUCAGAAGCUUCAUCAAAAAACAUGGUGUUUCCAGUGUUUAAAAUGUAACAUUUCAGAAUGCUUUGUUCACUUCACACGUCCUGCAAGUCAUGUCUGUAAAUCCAUGUAAAAAUGUGUAAUCUGCACUGAGUUUUCCAUACUUCCAGUGUUUUGCUGUGGAAAUAUCUAUUGUGCACUCUGAUUUUCAUACCCAGCAGUUGCUGAGUGUGUGUGCGUGCAAAGUGUUAUUGAUUACUAUAGAUGCCUGUCUUUAUUGUAAAGCUCUUCAUCCUUUCGACAUACAAGCUUUAGCAGAGUUCUGUAUUCAACAGGAGGAAUUCUCAUGGCUUUGCAUUGGAGAGGCUGAGACUGUGCCUCUGACAAGCAUAAGAACUGAAAAUGAGUCAACUAGGCUCCCUGAUUGAAGUGGAAGUUCAUUGGGGUGGAGGUCACUUCGUAUGUACUAGAUGAUUUAACUUUUAUAUUGAGAACAUUUCUAAAUGCUCCUUGAUGGACAACAUUUUGGACAGAUAGGCAAAAUGGAAUGAUAAACCACUUCUGAGUAUUCUUUCCCUAGAAAACCCUGAAAAAGGUUGCCAUAUGUCAGAAUUGACUUGAUGGCACACAAUUAUUAUAUCCCUUCCAGACUGUUCUUUGUAUAUUAUCUUUCUAAGAGUGUCUUCCUCUUCCUGAGUCACUGGUGUAUCUUCCUGUUUUAAGUUAGAGCUCUUCUCCUGUCUGCCUUGCUUUUGGGUGUCUCCUACCACACAAGCCAGUGGAACCAUAAAUUCACAGAUUGGGCUGUCAUGGUACUCUUUAUGCGAAUGACAAUGAAAUAGACUGCCAGCUGUACUUGGUCUGUUUUGGCAACUGCUGUAAGGCAUUAUCUGAAGUCCAUUUGUUGCUCCUGUUACAGCCUUUUAAAGUAUGUGUUUUCAAAGAAGUCUUUAUGCAGGAGCAGCUAUUCAUUCUACAGGUCAUUCUGUGGGCUCACCUUGAAAUGUUAAGUGUCAGAAGUGUCACAACAAAAAUAGCUGUCAUGCAUACCUACUGUGUGUGUGUGUGCAAGAAAAAGAACCUUAUUCGUGCGCAGGCUCAAAGCCCAUUGUGGGAGCGUGUGGACACUACUAUCCUUUGCCUCCACUUGCCUGAUCCUUCUGGAUCACCUCAUUCUUUUAUGUGUCCCCAUUGAUAAGGCCAGCUUUGUACCUGGGCCUGGGGCACCGCUUCCCUUCCCUUUAUGCUGCAGCAGCCCAUGGUGGACCUCUGGGCUGCAUUGUACAAAGUAGCAGUGAUGCAACCAACCAGACUGGUUGUUAGGGAGAGAAAGGGAGAUGUAGAUGCACCAACAAUACUACAGGUCUGCCCUCUUCUGCCCUCUUCACUGUUGGAAAGUUCCCCAGCAGCCAGGUGAUGACCACUGUGAGCAGUGGGUGGAGCUCUUACAGACCCUCCCUGCUGCAACAGUGGUGUAGAAACCCCUCCCCCCAUCCCUCCAUUAGAAGUCAGGCAAGAGCUCUCCAGUGUGCUUGCACAGCACUCCACCGUGUUGCUUUCGCUAGAUUUAACUUGCUUUUCCAGGCUCUCCCUGCCCUUUCAGCAGGUUGCUAACCUUGCACUCUUCAUGACCUGCCUUUGGCCUUGAAUGUGCAAUUCCUACCAUGCACCUUCUGUGCAUAUUAUUAAUAGGGGAAAAAGCACUUAGUAGUGCUGGGACCAUGUGGGUGUACUGGGAGGUAUUCUGUGGAAAUCAUAAUACCUGUGAGUGCUAAACUUAUUCUCUUGCUUUCAGGCUGGGAUCCUUCCUUUAAUACAGUGGUCAGGGAACAGGGGUAAAUUUCCCCAAAUGGGGUAAAAAUGAAAAUCCUGGGGUAAUGAGGACGGUCGUGGCAGCUCGGCCAUCCUCAUUACCUCCAGACGGUGAGAGCGGAGGGGCAGUGCUGGGAGGGGGUGGGGUAAUGUCGGCAUAUAUAAACUUUUUUGGGGGGGUAAAAGGUAAAAAAGUUUCCUGACCCCUGCUUUAAUAUAUUUACAAAAAUGUAUCUCCUUGGCAGUAUGUGUGGGGAAUGGCUUUUUCCUUGCACUUUCUAAUUGGGUGUGUGUAGGUAAGGAACAUGAGAGAAGGAAAGUAUGAAUGUGGUGUAGUGCUUUGUCCUUGCAACUUUGCUAUCUGUUUUCUAGUCGAAAUUGCUUGUUACCAGCAAGAAAAGUCAGGAAUCUAGGCAACUAUUUUGCAUUUCAAUUUCAGCACUGUUUUAAAUACAUGCCUUUUCAUGCUUUUUUUUUUAAUUCAUGUUUGACGUUUCCCUUGAGGUUUCCUUUUUGCAACACGAAUCUGAGAUUGUGUCCAGAAUUAUAUCUUUCAUUGGAUUCCAUCACUUGUGCACGCACCAGGUACAGGGCCAGAGUGAAUGGCACCACAGCUUUUCAAUACAUAAGGUAUCCUGGCUCUGGAUGCAAGCUGGUGUUGAUCAGAUGCACAUAGUAUAUUUUGUCUGGUUUUAUAAUGUGUUGAUCUCUUUUGCCUUAACUCAUAAAAUGGAGGAUGUGAUCUGGGCAUAACAAAUGUAUUAACUGUAUACAAACAUGUUUUAAUGGUCAAUAAUCCUAAAGACCAGCACUGGUUGGGCUGAUGGAGUUUGUCAUGUGUGAUAACAUGAGUUUAUCAGAAAAUAUAGAGCAAGUAUGUAUGCUUCUCUAGUCAUAUUAAUGAUGCCUUGCCUGUAUCGGAAUCAUUGACGCCAACUCUGUAUCCCAGCCAUAGACACAGAUCUUUGUAAGUACACUUAUUCUGAAAUUGGUUAGGAAUGACAUUUUUUCUUAAUUCUGUACAAAAGACACCCAAGAUAAGGGUUUAUUUUAGGUGUGUGCAAGCUCUAGGGGCCAUUUUUCUACCCCUGGACCUCUUCAGGAGCUUCAGUAGGUCCUCCACAUGAAACAGUACUAAUUGUGGGUUCAUUGUAUUUAAAAUAAUAAUAAUAAAAGGAAACAAAUGGAUAUUCUAGUAAAGCAAGGUGUGGGUAGGCAGACCUUGUCAUAAGAAAAGAAUCAUGUCCCUAGAGAGCACUCUUCUCUCAUUUCUUGAAAACGAAAAUGGAUUUUUAAAAAAUGGCUCUGAGGGGUAUUUUGGAGCGAUAUGUAGUCUUUUGCCUCUGAUUAUUUCAAUAUUAAGAUUUAAGAAACCAGGAAGAGAGCCAGUAUUUUCACUUUUGCAUCUUGAUUGUCUCCUGUGCAAAUCUCCAUCAAAAUUAAUGAGAACCUCCCAUUUGUUGCACACCAAAUGCCCCUUGCAUUAGCCUGUAUACUGAAAAUCUUACCAGACAGUUUCUACUUAUUUUUUUAAACAUAUUUCCAUCAUACAGAUUUGGUAGUUGUUGGAGCAUUCAUUAGAAAGGGGCGAUAUGAGUUGCAAUUUCACUGGUCCCAUGCUUUGUUUGCAAUGUUUCCUCAAUGUUUUAGCUAAUGUUUUAACCUGAAAUAACUAAUUCACCAUAUGAUGGCCAUAACGUGUAAUGAAAACUAGUAUCUAGUAGCUUCACAUAAUCUAGAAGCAGGCACAGAUGUUUGUUUGUACCUUUAUAUGUGGCAAUAUUUUUAAUUCCGGCUUCUCUAAUAUUUUUACUUCUUUUUCUUUUUGCAAAGACUCUUAUACAGAGUGAUGGAGGUCAUAGGCAGCAUAGGUAAUGCUACUGAGUAGACAUGUGUUUAGGAUCUAAAUAGAACCUGCAACAGUUGUCAGGCUUCAAUAUAUCUGUGAUCGCUAACAGUGAAACCCACGGGACCCAGGAUAUAUAUGUGGAAGAAAUUCCAAAUUAGUAUAAACUUUGUAUUCUCUGAAUUACUUUGUGGCUGCAUUUCAGUGUCGUGCUCCCUAGUCCUCAAAAUCAUGGUCUCGAGGAUUUACCUUUAUGUGUUUCAAUACUUGUUGUAUUCUAAUUUUUGUAACAAGUAUGAUCCAAAACAUCCUGAAAUCAUCCAAGUGUAAUUGAUUAUAUUGUAUUAAAGUUUUUUUAAAA
Non-coding RNA from Pogona vitticeps (central bearded dragon), 5705 nucleotides. Lineage: Eukaryota; Metazoa; Chordata; Lepidosauria; Squamata; Agamidae. The record is from RefSeq and is a predicted model, not a curated record.